UACGUAGGGGGCAAGCGUUGUCCGGAUUUAUUGGGCGUAAAGCGCUCGCAGGUGGUCCGAUGCGUCGUGCGUGAAAGACCCCGGCUCAACUGGGGGGUGUCGUGCGAUACGGGCGGACUGGAGGCCAGUAGGGGGAUGCGGAAUUCCGGGUGUAGUGGUGGAAUGCGUAGAGAUCCGGAGGAACACCAGCGACGAAGGCGGCAUCCUGGACUGGUCCUGACACUCAUGAGCGAAAGCGUGGGGAGCGAUCCGG
This 253-nucleotide ribosomal RNA is filed under the name uncultured bacterium. Its description in RNAcentral is "partial 16S ribosomal RNA". It matches the Rfam family "Bacterial small subunit ribosomal RNA", at positions 524 to 776 of the family's 1533-position model. The record is from RNAcentral.